UACGUAGGGUGCAAGCGUUGUCCGGAAUUAUUGGGCGUAAAGAGCUCGUAGGCGGUCUGUCGCGUCCGUUGUGAAAACUCGAGGCUCAACCUCGGGCUUGCAGUGGAUACGGGCAGACUAGAGUGCGGUAGGGGAGACUGGAAUUCCUGGUGUAGCGGUGGAAUGCGCAGAUAUCAGGAGGAACACCGAUGGCGAAGGCAGGUCUCGUGGGCCAUUACUGACACUGAGAAGCGAAAGCAUGGGGAGCGAACAGG
RNAcentral lists this ribosomal RNA (254 nucleotides) under uncultured bacterium. Its description in RNAcentral is "partial 16S ribosomal RNA". It matches the Rfam family "Bacterial small subunit ribosomal RNA", at positions 524 to 776 of the family's 1533-position model. The record is from RNAcentral.